Molecule: ribosomal RNA, 406 nt
Filed under: uncultured bacterium
Lineage: Bacteria
Description: partial 16S ribosomal RNA
Rfam family: Bacterial small subunit ribosomal RNA
Source: RNAcentral
AUUGAACGCUGGCGGCAGGCCUAACACAUGCAAGUCGAACGAGUGGCGGACGGGUGAGUAAUGUCUGGGAGACUGCCUGAUGGCGGGGGAUAACUACUGGAAAGGGUAGCUAAUACCGCAUGCCAUCAGAUGUGCCCAGAUGGGAGUGGCUAGGUGGUGGGGUAACGGCUUACCCAGGCGACGGUGCCUAGCUGGUCUGAGCGGAUGACCGGCCACACUGGCACUGAGACACGGGCCAGACUCCUACGGGAGGAAGCGGUGGGGAAUAUUGGACCAUGGGCGCAAGCCUGAUGCAGCCAUGCCGCGUGGAUGAGGAAGGCCUUCGGGUUGUAAAGUACUUUCAGCGGGGAGGCGUUACCCGCAGAAGAAGCACCGGCUAACUCCGUGCCAGCAGCCGCGGUAAUAC